CCUAACGGGUGGCUGCAGUGGGGAAUAUUGGACAAUGGGCGAAAGCCUGAUCCAGCCAUGCCGCGUGUGUGAAGAAGGCCUUCGGGUUGUAAAGCACUUUCAGUGGGGAAGAAAGCCUUGGGGCUAAUACCCUCGAGGAAGGACAUCACCCACAGAAGAAGCACCGGCUAACUCCGUGCCAGCAGCCGCGGUAAUACGGAGGGUGCGAGCGUUAAUCGGAAUUACUGGGCGUAAAGCGCGCGUAGGCGGUCUGAUAAGCCGGUUGUGAAAGCCCCGGGCUCAACCUGGGAACGGCAUCCGGAACUGUCAGGCUAGAGUGCAGGAGAGGAAGGUAGAAUUCCCGGUGUAGCGGUGAAAUGCGUAGAGAUCGGGAGGAAUACCAGUGGCGAAGGCGGCCUUCUGGACUGACACUGACGCUGAGGUGCGAAAGCGUGGGUAGCAAACAGGAUUAGAUACCCCAGUAGUC
Molecule: ribosomal RNA, 466 nt
Filed under: Vreelandella stevensii
Lineage: Bacteria; Pseudomonadati; Pseudomonadota; Gammaproteobacteria; Oceanospirillales; Halomonadaceae
Description: partial 16S ribosomal RNA
Rfam family: Bacterial small subunit ribosomal RNA
Source: RNAcentral